GAUGAACGCUGGCGGCGUGCCUAAUACAUGCAAGUCGAGCGAACGGACGAGAAGCUUGCUUCUCUGAUGUUAGCGGCGGACGGGUGAGUAACACGUGGAUAACCUACCUAUAAGACUGGGAUAACUUCGGGAAACCGUAGCUAAUACCGGAUAAUAUUUUGAACCGCAUGGUUCAAAAGUGAAAGACGGUCUUGCUGUCACUUAUAGAUGGAUCCGCGCUGCAUUAGCUAGUUGGUAAGGUAACGGCUUACCAAGGCAACGAUGCAUAGCCGACCUGAGAGGGUGAUCGGCCACACUGGAACUGAGACACGGUCCAGACUCCUACGGGUGGCAGCAGUAGGGAAUCUUCCGCAAUGGGCGAAAGCCUGACGGAGCAACGCCGCGUGAGUGAUGAAGGUCUUCGGAUCGUAAAACUCUGUUAUUAGGGAAGAACAUAUGUGUAAGUAACUGUGCACAUCUUGACGGUACCUAAUCAGAAAGCCACGGCUAACUACGUG
RNAcentral lists this ribosomal RNA (497 nucleotides) under uncultured bacterium. RNAcentral describes it as "partial 16S ribosomal RNA". It matches the Rfam family "Bacterial small subunit ribosomal RNA", at positions 28 to 507 of the family's 1533-position model. The record is from RNAcentral.